UAACCCCGUCCGCGGCCCGCGACCAACCCCCGGUGAAACCCCUUCGACGAGUCGAGUUGUUUGGGAAUGCAGCUCAAAACGGGUGGUAAAUUCCAUCUAAAGCUAAAUACCGGCCGGAGACCGAUAGCGCACAAGUAGAGUGAUCGAAAGAUGAAAAGCACUUUGGAAAGAGAGUCAAACAGCACGUGAAAUUGUUGAAAGGGAAGCGCUUGCGACCAGACCUGCCCGCGGGCGAUCAGCCCCCGUUCUCGGGGGUGCACUCGCCCGCGACCAGGCCAGCAUCGGUCCGGGCGGCCGGAGAAAGGCCGGGGGAACGUAGCUCCCCACGCGGGGAGUCUUAUAGCCCCCGGCGCCAUACGGCCAGCCCGGACCGAGGACCGCGCUCCGGCGAGGAUGCUGGCGUAAUGGUCGUCAGCGGCCCGUCUUGAAACACGGACCAAGGAGUCUAACGUCUAUGCGAGUGUUUGGGCGUCAAACCCACGCGCGGAAUGAAAGUGAACGGAGGUGAGAACCCCCCCCC
RNAcentral lists this ribosomal RNA (520 nucleotides) under Squamarina subcetrarioides. RNAcentral's name for it is "Squamarina gypsacea var. subcetrarioides partial large subunit ribosomal RNA". It matches the Rfam family "Eukaryotic large subunit ribosomal RNA", at positions 216 to 750 of the family's 3401-position model. Lineage: Eukaryota; Fungi; Ascomycota; Lecanoromycetes; Lecanorales; Squamarinaceae. The record is from RNAcentral.